UAGACCCGAAACCGAGUGAUCUAGCCAUGACCAGGUUGAAGUUGGGGUAAAACCCGAUGGAGGACCGAACCGACCCCCGUUGAAACGUUGGCGGAUGAGUUGUGGCUAGGGGUGAAAUUCCAAUCGAACUCGGAGAUAGCUGGUUCUCCCCGAAAUAGCUUUAGGGCUAGCGUCGAGGUAAAGUCGUGUGAAGGUAGAGCACUGAAUAUGUGAUGGCCCCAUCUCGGGGUACUGAACAUAAUCAAACUCCGAAUGUCACAAAGAUAUACUCGGCAGUCAGACAGUGGGUGAUAAGGUCCAUUGUCAAAAGGGAAACAGCCCAGACCAUCAGCUAAGGUCCCAAAAUAUAUACUAAGUGGAAAAGGAUGUGGAGAUGUCCAGACAACUAGGAGGUUGGCUCAGAAGCAGCCAUCCUUUAAAGAGUGCGUAACAGCUCACUAGUCGAAUGACUCUGCGCCGAUAAUUUACCGGGGCUAAGUAUAUUACCGAAGCUAUGGAUUUACGCGUAAGCGUGAGUGGUAGGGGAGCGUUCUAUGUGCGGAGAAGCGGUACCGUAAGGAGCCGUGGAGCGCAUAGAAGAGAGAAUGCCGGUGUGAGUAGCGAAACGUGGGUGAGAAUCCCACGCACCGAAAACCCAAGGUUUCCAGAGGAAGGUUCGUCCGCUCUGGGUAAGUCGGGACCUAAGGCGAGGCCGAGAGGCGUAGUCGAUGGACAACAGGUAGAGAUUCCUGUACUUACGGUAUGAAUGAUGGAGUGACGGAGAAGGCUAGCGGAUCCUGCUGAUGGAAAUGCAGGUGCAAGCGAGGUAGCCGACAGCCAGGCAAAUCCGGCUGUCGAAAGGCAAAGGCGUGAGGCGUAUGGAAAGCUGCGGCAAGUACAGAAGUCCGUGAAGCCAGCUUCCAAGAAAAGCUUCUAGUGAUAAUCAUACAGUAACCCGUACCGAAAAUGGACACACAUGGGUGAGGAGAGAAUCCUAAGGUGAGCGAGAGAACUAUAGCUAAGGAACUCUGCAAAAUGACUCCGUAACUUAGGGAUAAGGAGUGCUCAUAGAGAUAUGAGCCGCAGUGAAACGGCCCAAGCGACUGUUUACCAAAAACACAGCUCUAUGCUAAGUCGAAAGACGACGUAUAUGGGGUGACGCCUGCCCGGUGCUGGAAGGUUAAGAGGAUGUGUCAGCGCAAGCGAAGCAUUGAAUUGAAGCCCCAGUAAACGGCGGCCGUAACUAUAACGGUCCUAAGGUAGCGAAAUUCCUUGUCAGGUAAGUUCUGACCCGC
RNAcentral lists this ribosomal RNA (1274 nucleotides) under human gut metagenome. Its description in RNAcentral is "bacterial LSU rRNA". It matches the Rfam family "Bacterial large subunit ribosomal RNA", at positions 710 to 1991 of the family's 2925-position model. The record is from RNAcentral.